CUCCUACGGGAGGCAGCAGUGAGGAAUAUUGGUCAAUGGUCGGAAGACUGAACCAGCCAAGUAGCGUGAAGGAUGAAGGUUCUAUGGAUUGUAAACUUCUUUUAUACGGGAAUAAAACCUCCCACGUGUGGGAGCUUGUAU
This 141-nucleotide ribosomal RNA is filed under the name uncultured bacterium. RNAcentral's name for it is "partial 16S ribosomal RNA". It matches the Rfam family "Bacterial small subunit ribosomal RNA", at positions 336 to 474 of the family's 1533-position model. The record is from RNAcentral.